RNAcentral lists this small RNA (543 nucleotides) under Pongo abelii (Sumatran orangutan). Its description in RNAcentral is "processed transcript". Lineage: Eukaryota; Metazoa; Chordata; Mammalia; Primates; Hominidae. The record is from RNAcentral.
AUGUCGGAGUAGUGCUCCACUGGGCGGGUCGGCCACAUGGCGUUUCUCCGUUGAUCUGUUGCUGGGCAUUUGACUGUUCUAGGUGGUACAUCUUUCAGCUUUCAGCUUAGAGGGGGGUAAAACAGGUGCCUUGUGUAAUGUGCACUUCAGUUCUUUGUGGGGUGGAUAUCUUUGGUUGUGUUUACGAAUUGUAUUUCCUCUUGUAUGAGUUACACGUUCAUUUCGUUGGCCCAUUUUUCUCCUGGAAUUGGGAUUUUCUCUGUCAAUCCUAACAAGAUCGCCCUGUCAUAGAGAAAUACACCGUUGCUGUGUUUUCAGCAAAAUGUUCCUCCAGCCUGACUGGCAGCCCUAUUUGCCACAGAACGGAGACAACAUUGAAGUCGCCUUCUCCUACUCCUCGGUCUUAUGGCCUUGGUCAGGCUACCUGGCCAUCUCCAUUUCUGUGACCAAGAAAGCGGCUUCCUGGGAAGGCAUUGCUCAGGGCCAUGUCAUGAUCACCGUGGCUUCCCCAGCAGAGACAGAGUCAAAAAAUGGUGCAGAACA